This 181-nucleotide ribosomal RNA is filed under the name uncultured bacterium. RNAcentral describes it as "partial 16S ribosomal RNA". It matches the Rfam family "Bacterial small subunit ribosomal RNA", at positions 340 to 513 of the family's 1533-position model. The record is from RNAcentral.
UACGGGAGGCAGCAGUGGGGAAUUUUGGACAAUGGGCGAAAGCCUGAUCCAGCANUGCCGCGUGCAGGAUGAAGGCCUUCGGGUUGUAAACUNCUUUUGUACGGAACGAAAAGACUCCUUCUAAUAAAGGGGGUUCAUGACGGUACCGUAAGAAUAAGCACCGGCUAACUACUUGCCACCA